AGUCGAACGGUGAACACGGAGCUUGCUCUGUGGGAUCAGUGGCGAACGGGUGAGUAACACGUGAGCAACCUGCCCCUGACUCUGGGAUAAGCGCUGGAAACGGCGUCUAAUACUGGAUAUGUGACGUGACCGCAUGGUCUGCGUCUGGAAAGAAUUUCGGUUGGGGAUGGGCUCGCGGCCUAUCAGCUUGUUGGUGAGGUAAUGGCUCACCAAGGCGUCGACGGGUAGCCGGCCUGAGAGGGUGACCGGCCACACUGGGACUGAGACACGGCCCAGACUCCUACGGGAGGCAGCAGUGGGGAAUAUUGCACAAUGGGCGCAAGCCUGAUGCAGCAACGCCGCGUGAGGGACGACGGCCUUCGGGUUGUAAACCUCUUUUAGCAGGGAAGAAGCGAAAGUGACGGUACCUGCAGAAAAAGCGCCGGCUAACUACGUGCCAGCAGCCGCGGUAAUACGUAGGGCGCAAGCGUUAUCCGGAAUUAUUGGGCGUAAAGAGCUCGUAGGCGGUUUGUCGCGUCUGCUGUGAAAUCCGGAGGCUCAACCUCCGGCCUGCAGUGGGUACGGGCAGACUAGAGUGCGGUAGGGGAGAUUGGAAUUCCUGGUGUAGCGGUGGAAUGCGCAGAUAUCAGGAGGAACACCGAUGGCGAAGGCAGAUCUCUGGGCCGUAACUGACGCUGAGGAGCGAAAGGGUGGGGAGCAAACAGGCUUAGAUACCCUGGUAGUCCACCCCGUAAACGUUGGGAACUAGUUGUGGGGUCCAUUCCACGGAUUCCGUGACGCAGCUAACGCAUUAAGUUCCCCGCCUGGGGAGUACGGCCGCAAGGCUAAAACUCAAAGGAAUUGACGGGGACCCGCACAAGCGGCGGAGCAUGCGGAUUAAUUCGAUGCAACGCGAAGAACCUUACCAAGGCUUG
RNAcentral lists this ribosomal RNA (914 nucleotides) under Microbacterium sp. B2780_3. Its description in RNAcentral is "bacterial SSU rRNA". It matches the Rfam family "Bacterial small subunit ribosomal RNA", at positions 60 to 983 of the family's 1533-position model. The record is from RNAcentral. Lineage: Bacteria; Bacillati; Actinomycetota; Actinomycetes; Micrococcales; Microbacteriaceae.